This 497-nucleotide ribosomal RNA is filed under the name uncultured bacterium. RNAcentral's name for it is "partial 16S ribosomal RNA". It matches the Rfam family "Bacterial small subunit ribosomal RNA", at positions 28 to 507 of the family's 1533-position model. The record is from RNAcentral.
GAUGAACGCUGGCGGCGUGCCUAAUACAUGCCAGUCGAGCGAACAGACGAGGAGCUUGCUCCUCUGACGUUAGCGGCGGACGGGUGAGUAACACGUGGAUAACCUACCUAUAAGACUGGGGUAACUUCGGGAAACCGGAGCUAAUACCGGAUAAUAUAUUGAACCGCAUGGUUCAAUAGUGAAAGACGGUUUUGCUGUCACUUAUAGAUGGAUCCGCGCCGCAUUAGCUAGUUGGUAAGGUAACGGCUUACCAAGGCGACGAUGCGUAGCCGACCUGAGAGGGUGAUCGGCCACACUGGAACUGAGACACGGUCCAGACUCCUACGGGAGGCAGCAGUAGGGAAUCUUCCGCAAUGGGCGAAAGCCUGACGGAGCAACGCCGCGUGAGUGAUGAAGGUCUUCGGAUCGUAAAACUCUGUUAUUAGGGAAGAACAAAUGUGUAAGUAACUAUGCACGUCUUGACGGUACCUAAUCAGAAAGCCACGGCUAACUACGUG